RNAcentral lists this long non-coding RNA (282 nucleotides) under Chrysemys picta bellii (western painted turtle). RNAcentral's name for it is "lncRNA (ENSCPBG00000019084.1)". Lineage: Eukaryota; Metazoa; Chordata; Testudines; Emydidae. The record is from RNAcentral.
GUGACUGUCAGUACAUAACCCAGAUUAUCAACUUUUGUUACCUGGAGGUUUAAAAGCAGCAGGAGCAAAAGGAACAUAAUGAAAGGAGCCCUACAGCAUCGGUCCUACCAGAAUUUUUCAAGGCCUGGGAGGACAGAAACCUGCGCGCUUCUUGGAGGCACACCCAUUGGUAGAGAAAUCUCUGGACAAGUUUGUCUCCCUGUGAUCAAACUCUGAUAUAGCCAGUGGCUAUUGUAGGUGAGAGCACAAGCAUUAGCAUUUGGUGUGGUUAGAUGUCGUCUU